AUGGCUACUCCUCUGAAACCCCCAGACUAUCUGUUCUUCAUGCUGGAUGAGAGGUCAUAUGCCAGCAGCGACACUGUCAUGACCCAGACACCAGAAUCCCUGCUGGUAUCUCCAGGAGACAGUGUCGCCAUCAACUGCAAAGCCAGUGCCAGCAUCGGCCAGCAGAUAGGCUCCAGUGGGCAGGUUGUGGUGACUCAGACUCCAGAGUCCCUGGCAGUGUCUCCUGGGGACACAGUCACUAUCCGCUGCAAAACCAGUUCCAGUGUUAGCGGCUGGAUGGCCUGGUACCAACAGAAAUCAGGACAAGCGCCUAAACUCCUCAUCCACAGCGCCUCCACCCGUCCUUCUGGGAUCCCAGACCGGUUCAGUGGCAGUGGGUCUGGCACUGACUACACAUUCACCAUCAGCAGGGUUGAAGCGGAUGAUGCUGGAGAUUAUUACUGUCAAAAGCAUGACACCGCCCCUCUCACACAGUGA
This is a non-coding RNA of Pelodiscus sinensis (Chinese soft-shelled turtle), 477 nucleotides long. The record is from the annotation of a RefSeq genome assembly. NCBI's taxonomy places the organism in Eukaryota, Metazoa, Chordata, Testudines, Trionychidae.